This 405-nucleotide ribosomal RNA is filed under the name Enterococcus faecium. RNAcentral's name for it is "bacterial SSU rRNA". It matches the Rfam family "Bacterial small subunit ribosomal RNA", at positions 985 to 1393 of the family's 1533-position model. Lineage: Bacteria; Bacillati; Bacillota; Bacilli; Lactobacillales; Enterococcaceae. The record is from RNAcentral.
GGGCUCUUGAACUCUAGAGAUAGAGCUUCCCCUUCGGGGGCAAAGUGACAGGUGGUGCAUGGUUGUCGUCAGCUCGUGUCGUGAGAUGUUGGGUUAAGUCCCGCAACGAGCGCAACCCUUAUUGUUAGUUGCCAUCAUUCAGUUGGGCACUCUAGCAAGACUGCCGGUGACAAACCGGAGGAAGGUGGGGAUGACGUCAAAUCAUCAUGCCCCUUAUGACCUGGGCUACACACGUGCUACAAUGGGAAGUACAACGAGUUGCGAAGUCGCGAGGCUAAGCUAAUCUCUUAAAGCUUCUCUCAGUUCGGAUUGCAGGCUGCAACUCGCCUGCAUGAAGCCGGAAUCGCUAGUAAUCGCGGAUCAGCACGCCGCGGUGAAUACGUUCCCGGGUCUUGUACACACCGA